This 562-nucleotide ribosomal RNA is filed under the name uncultured bacterium. RNAcentral describes it as "partial 16S ribosomal RNA". It matches the Rfam family "Bacterial small subunit ribosomal RNA", at positions 356 to 912 of the family's 1533-position model. The record is from RNAcentral.
UGGGAAUUUUGGACAAUGGGCGAAAGCCUGAUCCAGCAAUGCCGCGUGUGUGAAGAAGGCCUUCGGGUUGUAAAGCACUUUUGUCCGGAAAGAAAUCCUUGGCUCUAAUACAGUCGGGGGAUGACGGUACCGGAAGAAUAAGCACCGGCUAACUACGUGCCAGCAGCCGCGGUAAUACGUAGGGUGCAAGCGUUAAUCGGAAUUACUGGGCGUAAAGCGUGCGCAGGCGGUUUGCUAAGACCGAUGUGAAAUCCCCGGGCUCAACCUGGGAACUGCAUUGGUGACUGGCAGGCUAGAGUAUGGCAGAGGGGGGUAGAAUUCCACGUGUAGCAGUGAAAUGCGUAGAGAUGUGGAGGAAUACCGAUGGCGAAGGCAGCCCCCUGGGCCAAUACUGACGCUCAUGCACGAAAGCGUGGGGAGCAAACAGGAUUAGAUACCCUGGUAGUCCACGCCCUAAACGAUGUCACUAGUUGUUGGGGAUUCAUUUCCUUAGUAACGUAGCUAACGCGUGAAGUUGACCGCCUGGGGAGUACGGUCGCAAGAUUAAAACUCAAAUGAAUUG